CAUGUCCAUGGACUGUGGUCAGCUAGCAACUUCUGUCCAUGGAAUUUUCCAGGCAAGAAUACUGGAAUGGGUUGCCAUUACCUUCUCCAGGAGAUUUUCCCAACCCAGGGAUUGAACCUGGGUCUCCUGCAUUAUAAGCAG
Long non-coding RNA from Cervus elaphus (red deer), 141 nucleotides. RefSeq lists it as uncharacterized. The record is from RefSeq and is a predicted model, not a curated record. Lineage: Eukaryota; Metazoa; Chordata; Mammalia; Artiodactyla; Cervidae. The transcript is spliced from 3 exons.